UACGUAGGGGGCGAGCGUUGUCCGGAUUUAUUGGGCGUAAAGAGCUUGUAGGAGGUUUGUCGCGUCUGCUGUGAAAAUCCGGGGCUCAACCCCGGACUUGCAGUGGGUACGGGCAGACUAGAGUGUGGUAGGGGAGACUGGAAUUCCUGGUGUAGCGGUGAAAUGCGCAGAUAUCAGGAGGAACACCGAUGGCGAAGGCAGGUCUCUGGGCCACUACUGACGCUGAGAAGCGAAAGCAUGGGGAGCGAACAGG
Molecule: ribosomal RNA, 253 nt
Filed under: uncultured bacterium
Lineage: Bacteria
Description: partial 16S ribosomal RNA
Rfam family: Bacterial small subunit ribosomal RNA
Source: RNAcentral